Molecule: ribosomal RNA, 416 nt
Filed under: uncultured soil bacterium
Lineage: Bacteria
Description: bacterial SSU rRNA
Rfam family: Bacterial small subunit ribosomal RNA
Source: RNAcentral
AGAGUGAACGCUGGCGGCAGGCCUAACACAUGCAAGUCGAACGGCAGCACAGUCCCGCAAGGGAUGGGUGGCGAGUGGCGGACGGGUGAGGAAUACAUCGGAAUCUACCUUGUCGUGGGGGAUAACGUAGGGAAACUUACGCUAAUACCGCAUACGACCUACGGGUGAAAGCGGCGGACCGCAAGGCGUCGCGCGAUUGGGUGAGCCGAUGUCCGAUUAGCUAGUUGGCGGGGUAAUGGCCCACCAAGGCGACGAUCGGUAGCUGGUCUGAGAGGAUGAUCAGCCACACUGGAACUGAGACACGGUCCAGACUCCUACGGGAGCAGCAGUGGGGAAUAUUGGACAAUGGGCGCAAGCCUGAUCCAGCCAUGCCGCGUGUGUGAAGAAGGCCCUUGGGUUGUAAAGCACGUUUUGUA